GCGAAGAUAGUGCAGUUGGUUAAGCUCGCUUUCCGCAAAAGGUUAAAUGUGGGUUCGAGUCCCGCCUGACGUCAAGUUUUUGCA
This is a non-coding RNA of Parelaphostrongylus tenuis, 84 nucleotides long. Lineage: Eukaryota; Metazoa; Nematoda; Chromadorea; Rhabditida; Metastrongylidae. The record is from the annotation of a GenBank genome assembly.